UACGAAGGGUGCAAGCGUUAAUCGGAAUUACUGGGCGUAAAGCGCGCGUAGGUGGUUCGUUAAGUUAGGAGUGAAAGCCCCGGGCUCAACCUGGGAAUUGCUUCUAAAACUGGCGGACUAGAGUAUGGUAGAGGGUGGUGGAAUUUCCUGUGUAGCGGUGAAAUGCGUAGAUAUAGGAAGGAACAUCAGUGGCGAAGGCGACCACCUGGACUAAUACUGACACUGAGGUGCGAAAGCGUGGGGAGCAAACAGG
Molecule: ribosomal RNA, 253 nt
Filed under: uncultured bacterium
Lineage: Bacteria
Description: partial 16S ribosomal RNA
Rfam family: Bacterial small subunit ribosomal RNA
Source: RNAcentral